Molecule: long non-coding RNA, 3190 nt
Organism: Cucumis sativus (cucumber)
Lineage: Eukaryota; Viridiplantae; Streptophyta; Magnoliopsida; Cucurbitales; Cucurbitaceae
Exons: 2
Source: RefSeq, a predicted model, not a curated record
CAAACUUUUGAGGCUCUUCUGGUGGGAAAUAAGGAGCAAAAAUGCAACCUGGCAUGCAUUUUCUUCUCAAGAACUUGCAAGCAGCACAUGGAGAGUUGUAGGAACUUGAUGAUGCCAUCCUUGCCCUAACCCAUCAAAACUCAAAAGCCAACAACAUUCAUUCAAAAAAUGGUAACAGUACAAGAGAGUACAAGAGGUAUAUUUUUUCCCCUCAUUCUCUUACACCUUAAAGUUUGAAUUAAUUCGUUAAACAAGACAACCAUUAUAUAUGAAUAACUUAAAACAUUAAACCCAAUUAGUUCUUUGUUUCUUUUGUCUCUUAUAUAUUUAUUUUUGUUCAUUUUAAGUUAUAUAUAUACAUUACACAUCUCUGUGUAUGUGUAGUUUAAUCAGAAAAAGUAAAGGGAAUUUCUUUUAUUUUUAACAAAAGAAAAAAGAAAAAGAAAUUCUAGAACAAAGUCAGAUGAAAUUCAGAAGAACAUUAUAUUUAAAAUUUUGUAGCUGAUCCCAAGUAAUUUAUUUUUUGUUCAGAAUGAAGAUCUCUUUCUUUCUUUCACACGCGUGCGCACUAGAAAAAAACUCCCAUCGACAGACACGUACGAUACCCUAAAUUAAAUUUGCAGAAACAUCUGCAUAAAUUGCAGAUAUGUGUGUGUGUACACACACACACACACACACUAUUAUUGUUCUUCCCAUGCAUAUCCUAUACUCAAUUAUAUAUAUUAAUUUCAUUUCUUGAUCAAUUACGAAAAUGGAGAAUUGAAUCUAUGCUCGAAUUAGAGACUUACCGAAUUGUUGAUAUGGUAUUUUAAAAGGAAAAAAGAAGUUAGAUCUCUUCAUCUCUCCCAUUGCCAUAUAAUAGAUUUUGAUUUUUGCAAGUUAAUGAUAAUUAAUUAAACCCAUCAAUUAUUACUUUAUUUCUUUAUUAUUAUUUUUUUGGAAAGUGUAAAUUGAGAGAAGAAAGUAGAGGUUGCGUGCAAAGCAGCUACAAAGACAGGUUUCAUAUAUAUAUAUAUAUAUACAUAUAUUCUGCAAUUCAGGUGAAGAAGAUGAGACACAUGACUACUGGUGAAAAAUAAAGUAAAAAAAGAAAAAAAAGUCAUCAGAAAAAAUAUAUAUAUUUUAUAUAUGUUUUUCAACAUACAGACGUCAAAAAAGAAGAGAAAAAAAACCAUAUGAUAUAACACAAUGGGUAAGAGAAAGCCCUAAAUUAAGCUCAACCUAGCCACAUAUACAGUCAAAAAUUAGGGUCUACAUUAAUUUCUUUCUUUAGCCUUUUUACUAACCCUAUAUAUAUAUAUAUAUAUAUAUAAAUUCAUAAGAACAAACAAAAACUAACCUUUAUUCUUUAAUUUGAAUUUUUUUAUUACUUAUACAAACAAAACAAAAGAAAGCUACAUAUAUAUGUGUCUGUGUGUGUGUGUAAACUUACAUCUCAUCAUGUGUGAUCUAGGGUCUUUCCCCUUUUUUUUUUUUCUUUUGGAAUCAAUUCAAAAAACUAAAACAAUAAAAACCCACCAAAAAAGGAAGUUCCUUUUUUAAAUUACCUUUCAAGUGUGUGAGAAAAGCUCUAAACCCUCUUUUUCUCCCUUUCCCCUUUGAUCAUAAACUAAAAGAAGUCUUAUGAGAUUUGGUAAUUUAGGGCUGAAUUUGAUGAAGAACCCUAAUUUUGAAGAAGGAAGAAGAAAGAAAGAGAGAGACGGGUGAGAGAGAAACAAAAGAAGAGAGGGUAUUGAGUGGAAGUGAAAGAUUGGGAGAAGCUAAGAGAGUAUAUUUAGUGGAUGGGAAGAGAGAAAGGGGUAAGGGGGGGAAUGGAAUGGAGAGGGGAUAUGCAAAAGACAAGGAUAAUAAAUGGUGGGUACACUAACAAAAGAAUGACUAUGACCCUGCAUCCAAUAAUAAUAUCAGGGUUGUGGGAUUGUCUCCCAUUUUUAUUCCAUUCUUUCUUUCUUUCUUUCUUUUCUUUCUCAUGCACUCUAUUACACACACAUAUAUACCUAUCAUUUAUAUUUCUUUGUCUGUUUUUGUCAUUAAUAACUCACAAUUAAGGAUUAUACCAUUUUCAAUUCACAUACUAACACACAGUAUAUAUGUAUCAUAAAAAGUAUAUACAAUUGAGAAUGAAAAGAUUUGACAACUUACAUAUAUAUGCAUUCAUAUAGAAAAUGAAAAUGAGAAAUAAAGAAAAGAUGAAAGGUUAAGCAUAGUAAUUAGAGAUUUUUGAAAUGGUUCAUUCAUAGCGUCAUAGAAAGAGUGUGGUUUUAUUAUUAGGGUUAGUAUUUUGUUGAUCAAAACAAAAACAUAUAUAUAUAUAUAUGACCUUUAAUUUUUAAUAAAUAUUUGUUUUUAGGUUUAGGGUGUGAUAAGAUUACAUGUGUGUAUCAACCUCGUUAAAAUACUAGAGUGCACACCUAGGAUCUCUCUUCCUUCAGUAUUUAAAAGAAAUGGGUACAUUGCAAAGACCAUCAUUAGAAUGUAGUGGUCGUUGUAGAUGCAGUUGCCUUCUCAAACUUUAGCUAUAAAGACUAUACGAACAUGUAUGACUGAUAUAUAGUUGAAUGGUACCAAAGAUAUGUCAAUCUAGUUGAGAUAUAUUUCAUUUCACCUUCUAAUCUUUCUCUUAUAGUAUCUUGUUUAAAAUUAGAUCCGAAUGGAUAAAAGUUAAACUCUCAAAAGCUUAUACAAUACUAUCACAAAUAACUUACAACUUCUACAAGUUUAAUGAGAGUAAUUUAAUUUUAAUUCUUGUAACAAAGUUUAAAAGGCUCAAUUUUUACCAUUAAAAAUUCAAUGGUUUAAUUACAAUUACUACUCCAACCUUACUAAUUUAAAGAAUUUUUUUUGAAAUUUUUUUAAAAACUUUAGAAUUAGAAAGUUUAUAUAUAGCACCAUCUAAACCCUUGGAUCGAAAACCGUACAUAACAUAUAAUAUAUGUACAGAAUUUAAGUCAAUAAUGCAUUUCUUACACUAUAUGAUCUAGAAUUUAUAGAUCAAGAAUGAAAUUUUGUGGGGGUAUUUGAAGUUAUUUUUCUUAUACAUGAUAAACUCAUCAAAAGAAAGGGAAGAAAUAUAUAGAAUAAAAAAAAAGAAUUGAUUUGAGGGAUUUAUCACCAUUGUACUGACCGAGGCCAUGAAUUGCAACUUGCAAAAUAAACCACAUAUAUAUAUAUAUAUAUAAUUCUCUUUUUU